Molecule: transfer RNA, 75 nt
Filed under: Thermoplasmata archaeon M11B2D
Lineage: Archaea; Methanobacteriati; Thermoplasmatota; Thermoplasmata
Also listed under: 1 other name
Description: tRNA-Glu
Rfam family: tRNA
About the family: Transfer RNA (tRNA) molecules are approximately 80 nucleotides in length.
Source: RNAcentral
GCCCUGUUCGUCUAUCGGUUAGGACACCCGGUUUUCAACCGGACAAGAAGAGUUCGAUUCUCUUACAGGGUACCA